AACUGAAGAGUUUGAUCCUGGCUCAGAUUGAACGCUGGCGGCAUGCCUUACACAUGCAAGUCGAACGGCAGCACGGGGGCAACCCUGGUGGCGAGUGGCGAACGGCAUACGCUCCACGGAGGAAAGCAGGGGACCGCAAGGCCUUGCACUAUGGGAGCGGCCGAUGCCCGAUUAGCUAGUUGGUGAGGUAAAGGCUCACCAAGGCGACGAUCGGUAGCUGGUCUGAGAGGACGACCAGCCACACUGGGACUGAGACACGGCCCAGACUCCUACGGGAGGCAGCAGUGGGGAAUUUUGGACAAUGGGCGAAAGCCUGA
RNAcentral lists this ribosomal RNA (317 nucleotides) under Betaproteobacteria bacterium PRO7. Its description in RNAcentral is "bacterial SSU rRNA". It matches the Rfam family "Bacterial small subunit ribosomal RNA", at positions 1 to 386 of the family's 1533-position model. The record is from RNAcentral. Lineage: Bacteria; Pseudomonadati; Pseudomonadota; Betaproteobacteria.